This 180-nucleotide ribosomal RNA is filed under the name uncultured Glomeromycotina. Its description in RNAcentral is "partial small subunit ribosomal RNA". The record is from RNAcentral. Lineage: Eukaryota; Fungi; Glomeromycota.
GGCCUGGCUGGGCGGUCCGCCUUACGGUGUGUACUGUCCGGCCGGGCCUUACCUCAUGGUGAGCCCGUAUGCCCUUUACUGGGUGUGCGGUGGAACCAUGAAUUUUACCUUGAGAAAAUUAGAGUGUUCAAAGCAGGCAUAAGCCCGAAUACAUUAGCAUGGAAUAAUAGAAUAGGACGU